RNAcentral lists this ribosomal RNA (410 nucleotides) under uncultured Flavobacteriia bacterium. Its description in RNAcentral is "bacterial SSU rRNA". It matches the Rfam family "Bacterial small subunit ribosomal RNA", at positions 370 to 779 of the family's 1533-position model. The record is from RNAcentral. Lineage: Bacteria; Pseudomonadati; Bacteroidota; Flavobacteriia.
AAUGGAGGUAACUCUGACCCAGCCAUGCCGCGUGCAGGAAGACUGCCUAUGGGUUGUAAACUGCUUUUAUACAGGAAGAACACUGCUACGUGUAACAGCUUGACGGUACUGUAAGAAUAAGGACCGGCUAACUCCGUGCCAGCAGCCGCGGUAAUACGGAGGGUCCGAGCGUUAUCCGGAAUCAUUGGGUUUAAAGGGUCCGCAGGCGGUCAAUUAAGUCAGAGGUGAAAUCCCAUAGCUUAACUAUGGAACUGCCUUUGAUACUGGUUGACUUGAGUCAUAUGGAAGUAGAUAGAAUGUGUAGUGUAGCGGUGAAAUGCAUAGAUAUUACACAGAAUACCGAUUGCGAAGGCAGUCUACUACGUAUGUACUGACGCUCAUGGGCGAAAGCGUGGGGAGCGAACAGGAUU